Molecule: ribosomal RNA, 1066 nt
Filed under: uncultured fungus
Lineage: Eukaryota; Fungi
Description: eukaryotic LSU rRNA
Rfam family: Eukaryotic large subunit ribosomal RNA (bases 459-1066)
Source: RNAcentral
GAUCAUUAGAAUUAUUAGGAAGAUUUUUUAAUCUUUCCAAUACUUUACUCAAAAUUUUCAGUCUUAUAUACAUAUUCAAAUAUUUUUAAAAAAAAUUUGAUAACUUUCAACAACGGAUCUCUUGGCUCUUGCCUCGAUGAAGAACGCAGUGAAAUGCGAUAGGUAAUGUGAAUUGCAGAAUUCCGUGAAUCAUCAAAUUUUUGAACGCAAAUUGCACUCUCUGGUAUUCCGGGGAGUAUACUUGCUUGAGGGUUAGUGAUUAUAAAUCGUGAAAAGAAAUUUUUACGGAUCUGGGUUUUCCAAAGUUUUUUUUGGUAAUCUAAAAUUUAUCUUAACAAUAGGUGAUAUUGGAAAUGUUUAUCUUUUAAUUCAUUAACAGUUAUUGCCAAUUUGUUACGUCGUGUUAUUUUCCUAAUCCCUUGAUUGGGUAAGAGUAACACAAUUUUUUCUUUGAAAUCUGACCUCAAGUCAAGUAAGAAUACCCGCUGAACUUAAGCAUAUCAAUAAGCGGAGGAAAAGAAACUAACAAGGAUUCCCUUAGUAACGGCGAGUGAACUGGGAAGAGCUCAAAUUUUAAAUCACCUAGGUGAGUUGUAAUUUGAAGAAAGUGUUUUGAUGCUCUGGUUUGGUCUAAAUCCUUUGGGAUAAGGUAUCAUAGAGGGUGAGAAUCCCGUCCAUGAUUAAACCCUGGGUGUCACCUAAUUCACUUUCCAAGAGUCGAGUUGUUUGGGAUUGCAGCUCAAAAUGGGUGGUAAAUUUCACCUAAGGCUAAAUAUGUGCAAGAGACCGAUAGCGAACAAGUACCGUGAGGGAAAGAUGAAAAGAACUUUGAAAAGAGAGUUAAAUAGUACGUGAAAUUGUUGAGAGGGAAACGCUUGGAGUCAGUCGCGUCUGCUGGGACUCAGCCUUGCUUCUGCUUGGUGCACUUCUCAGUAGAUGGGCCAGCAUCAAUUUUGGGUGCAGGAAAAGGGCGGGAGGAAUGUGGCAGCUUGCUGUGUUAUAGCCUCUCGUCGUACACUGUGCUUGGGAUUGAGGACUGCAGCACGCCUUUUGGUAGGGGUUCGCC